RNAcentral lists this ribosomal RNA (497 nucleotides) under uncultured bacterium. RNAcentral describes it as "partial 16S ribosomal RNA". It matches the Rfam family "Bacterial small subunit ribosomal RNA", at positions 28 to 507 of the family's 1533-position model. The record is from RNAcentral.
GAUGAACGCUGGCGGCGUGCCUAAUACAUGCAAGUCGAGCGAACAGACCAGGAGCUUGCUCCUCUGACGUUAUCGCCGGACGGGUGAGUAACACGUGGUUAACCUACCUAUCCGACUGGGAUACCUUCGGGAAACCGUGGCUACUACCGGAUAAUAUAUUGCCCCGCAUUGUUCAAUCGUUAAAGUCGGUUUUUCCGUCACUAAUAGAUUAAUCCGCGCCGCAUGAGCUAGUUGUUAAGGUAACGGCUUACCAAGGCGACGAGGCGUAGACGACCUGAGAGGGAGGAUGGACAGACGGGAAGUGAGAAACGGUACAGACUCCGACGGGAGGAAGCAGUAGGGAAUCUUACGCGAGGGGGGAGAGCGGGACAGAGGAAAGCCGGGGGAGGGAUGAAGGACUACGGAUGGUAAAACGAUGAUAGUAGUGAAGAAGAAAUGUGUAAGUAACUAGGAAGGUAUUGACGGUACCGAAACAAAAAGCCACGGCUAACUACGUG